Molecule: transfer RNA, 62 nt
Filed under: Tyraphus nitidus
Lineage: Eukaryota; Metazoa; Arthropoda; Insecta; Coleoptera; Staphylinidae
Description: tRNA-Arg
Source: RNAcentral
AAAUAAGAAACAAUUAAUUGUAUUUAGUUUCGACCUAAAAUUAUGGCAUAAGCCCUUAUUUU